Molecule: ribosomal RNA, 447 nt
Filed under: uncultured bacterium
Lineage: Bacteria
Description: bacterial SSU rRNA
Rfam family: Bacterial small subunit ribosomal RNA
Source: RNAcentral
UGCCAGACUCCUACGGGAGGUAGCAGUGGGGAAUAUUGCACAAUGGGCGAAAGCCUGAUGCAGCGACGCCGCGUGAGUGAAGAAGUAUUUCGGUAUGUAAAGCUCUAUCAGCAGGGAAGAAAAUGACGGUACCUGACUAAGAAGCCCCGGCUAACUACGUGCCAGCAGCCGCGGUAAUACGUAGGGGGCAAGCGUUAUCCGGAUUUACUGGGUGUAAAGGGAGCGCAGGCGGCGUGGCAAGUCAGAUGUGAAAACCCGGGGCCCAACCCCGGGAGUGCAUUUGAAACUGCCAUGCUGGAGUGCCGGAGAGGUAAGCGGAAUUCCUAGUGUAGCGGUGAAAUGCGUAGAUAUUAGGAGGAACACCAGUGGCGGAGGCGGCUUACUGGACGGUAACUGACGCUGAGGCUCGAAAGCGUGGGGAGCAAACAGGAUUAGAUACCCGUGUAA